Molecule: ribosomal RNA, 460 nt
Filed under: Chryseobacterium oncorhynchi
Lineage: Bacteria; Pseudomonadati; Bacteroidota; Flavobacteriia; Flavobacteriales; Weeksellaceae
Description: bacterial SSU rRNA
Rfam family: Bacterial small subunit ribosomal RNA
Source: RNAcentral
CCUACGGGCGGCAGCAGUGAGGAAUAUUGGUCAAUGGGCGAGAGCCUGAACCAGCCAAGUAGCGUGAAGGAUGAAGGUCCUACGGAUUGUAAACUUCUUUUAUACGGGAAUAAAGUUUCCUACGUGUAGGAUUUUGUAUGUACCGUAUGAAUAAGCAUCGGCUAACUCCGUGCCAGCAGCCGCGGUAAUACGGAGGAUGCGAGCGUUAUCCGGAUUUAUUGGGUUUAAAGGGAGCGCAGACGGGAGAUUAAGUCAGUUGUGAAAGUUUGCGGCUCAACCGUAAAAUUGCAGUUGAUACUGGUUUCCUUGAGUGCAGUUGAGGCAGGCGGAAUUCGUGGUGUAGCGGUGAAAUGCUUAGAUAUCACGAAGAACCCCGAUUGCGAAGGCAGCUUGCUAAACUGUAACUGACGUUCAUGCUCGAAAGUGUGGUUAUCAAACAGGAUUAGAUACCCGAGUAGUC